AGCACACUUUAUAAUUUAUUUACUUUGUUUCUGGGCAAGAGUCAAAGUUAACAUUUUGGCACAGAUAUAUUUCAUUUAAUUUUCCCCGUACAACAACUCGUCGAAUCGCAGAUAUAAAAAAUAAUAAUAAUAAUCGUUUCAAAGCAACAAAAUAAAUCAUAAAAAAAGACUUCAGAACAUUUCCUGUGAUGUGUUGUGAUAGUUAGAAAUUGAAACGGUUUAAGUGACAGAGAGCAUAAUAACUUAAAACAACAUCGUUGACAAGCAGCUCAAGCGCUCUAAUAAAACAAUGUUCAACUACAGCUGCACUCAGUGUCCCAGGCUAGCAGCUGGUUAUGAGGCUAGCAGCUGGUUAUGAGGCUAGCAGCUGGGUGCCACACUAGCCAAGGGAUAUGAGGCUAGCAGCUGGUUAUGAGGCUAGCAGCUGGGUACCACACUAGCCAAGGGUUAUGAGGCUAGCAGCUGGUACCACACUAGCCAAGGGUUAUGAGGCUAGCAGCUGGUUAUGAGGCUAGCAGCUGGUACCACACUAGCCAAGGGUUAUGAGGCUAGCAGCUGGUGCCACACUAGUAAAGGGUUAUGAGGCUAGCAGCUGGUACCACACUAGCCAAGGGUUAUGAGGCUAGCAGCUGGUACCACACUAGCCAAGGGAUAUGAGGCUAGUAGCUGGUACCACACUAGCCAAGGGUUAUGAGGCUAGCAGCUGGUGCCACACUAGCCAAGGGUUAUGAGGCUAGCAGCUGGUUAUGAGGCUAGCAGCUGGUACCACACUAGCCAAGGGAUAUGAGGCUAGCAGCUGGUUAUGAGGCUAGCAGCUGGUUAUGAGGCUAGCAGCUGGUUAUGAGGCUAGCAGCUGGUUAUGAGGCUAGCAGCUGGUGCCACACUAGCCAAGGGAUAUGAGGCUAGCAGCUGGUGCCACACUAGCCAAGGGUUAUGAGGCUAGCAGCUGGUGCCACACUAGCCAAGGGUUAUGAGGCUAGCAGCUGGUGCCACACUAGUAAAGGGAUAUGAGGCUAGUAGCUGGUACCACACUAGCCAAGGGUUAUGAGGCUAGCAGCUGGUACCACACUAGCCAAGGGUUAUGAGGCUAGCAGCUGGUACCACACUAGCCAAGGGUUAUGAGGCUAGCAGCUGGUACCACACUAGCCAAGGGUUAUGAGGCUAGCAGCUGGUGCCACACUAGCC
RNAcentral lists this long non-coding RNA (1185 nucleotides) under Salmo salar (Atlantic salmon). Its description in RNAcentral is "lncRNA (ENSSSAG00000084109.1)". Lineage: Eukaryota; Metazoa; Chordata; Actinopteri; Salmoniformes; Salmonidae. The record is from RNAcentral.